GACGAACGCUGGCGGCGCGCUUAACACAUGCAAGUCGAACGGAAAGGCCUGCUUUCCCUUGUGGAUUGCGGGUACUCGAGUGGCGAACGGGUGAGUAACACGUGAGUGAUCUGCCCCCAACUUGGGUAUAAGCCUGGGAAACUGGGCCUAAUUCCCGAUAGGACUGCAGGGUGGUGCCUGUGGUGGAAAACGAUUUUCUAGUGGUUGGGGAUGAGCUGGCGGCCUAUCUGCUUGUUGGUGGGGUAAUGGCCUACCAAGGCGGCGACGGGUAGCCGGCCUGGGAGGGUGGACGGCCACAUUGGGACUGAGGUACGGCCCAGACGCCUACGGGAGGCAGCAGUGGGGAAUAUUGCACAAUGGGCGGAAGCCUGAUGCAGCGACGCCGCGUGGGGGAUGACGGCCUUCGGGUUGUAAACUCCUUUCGACCGCGAGGAAGCCACCUGGUUGGAAGGGUGGUGACGGUAGUGGUAGAAGAAGCACCGGCUAACUACGUG
Molecule: ribosomal RNA, 494 nt
Filed under: uncultured bacterium
Lineage: Bacteria
Description: partial 16S ribosomal RNA
Rfam family: Bacterial small subunit ribosomal RNA
Source: RNAcentral